GCCUUCUUAGUUUAGUUGGUAGAGCAUCCGCUUAGUAAGCGGGAGGUCGUCGAUUCAACUCCGGCAGGAGGCU
Molecule: non-coding RNA, 73 nt
Organism: Perkinsus marinus ATCC 50983
Lineage: Eukaryota; Perkinsozoa; Perkinsida; Perkinsidae
Source: Rfam